This 253-nucleotide ribosomal RNA is filed under the name uncultured bacterium. RNAcentral describes it as "partial 16S ribosomal RNA". It matches the Rfam family "Bacterial small subunit ribosomal RNA", at positions 524 to 776 of the family's 1533-position model. The record is from RNAcentral.
UACGUAGGUGACCAGCGUUGUCCGGAUUUACUGGGCGUAAAGAGCGCGCAGGCGGUCGUUCAAGUCGAGUGUGAAAGCCCCCGGCUCAACUGGGGAGGGUCAUUCGAUACUGAUCGACUCGAAGGCAGGAGAGGGAAGUGGAAUUCCCGGUGUAGUGGUGAAAUGCGUAGAUAUCGGGAGGAACACCAGUGGCGAAGGCGGCUCACUGGACCGGAACUGACGCUGAGGCGCGAAAGCGUGGGGAGCAAACAGG